This 394-nucleotide long non-coding RNA is filed under the name Rattus norvegicus (Norway rat). RNAcentral's name for it is "long non-coding RNA NONRATT027163". Lineage: Eukaryota; Metazoa; Chordata; Mammalia; Rodentia; Muridae. The record is from RNAcentral.
CAGAAGAGAGGCUCAACCUGGAUUCUCCUUGCCUCCCACAGCAUCCUUGUUGUCACAGUCAUUUGCAUCUGAGAAACGCAGAGAACCGAUUGUUCUUGGAUGAAGAAGAAGAAGCCGGAAAUAACACGUUUCUAAAGACAGGCAAGAGAAGUGGAUGCACAGCAUGUAAUUUCAAACCCAAGCCCAGGCUUUCCCACGUGCACGGAAAAUGAUUUUGAGCAAAUUAUUUCUUGUACUCCUACCUGUGCAGUGAGGGAAAUUGCUCACUGCAGACGGAGCAGUUAUAAAGACACAACAAGGCUGCCGUGCUUAGCUGAACAAUGAAAACUAUUGGUACAGAUCCAAGAGCACGGAUCCUAACAUUUUAAAGGAACAAGAAGAGGGGGUAAAAAUC